This 512-nucleotide ribosomal RNA is filed under the name uncultured bacterium. RNAcentral's name for it is "bacterial SSU rRNA". It matches the Rfam family "Bacterial small subunit ribosomal RNA", at positions 28 to 533 of the family's 1533-position model. The record is from RNAcentral.
GAUGAACGCUAGCGGCAGGCCUAACACAUGCAAGUCGAGGGGCAUCGCGGUGCAGCAAUGCACUGGCGGCGACCGGCGUACGGGUGCGUAACGCGUAUGCAACCUGCCCCGCACCGGGGGAUAGCCCGCCGAAAGGCGGAUUAAUACCCCAUGGCCCCGGGGGCCCGCAUGGGCAUCCGGGUAAAGCCUUGGCGGUGCGGGAUGGGCAUGCGUGCCAUUAGCUGGCUGGUGGGGUAACGGCCCACCAGGGCAACGAUGGCUAGGGGGUCUGAGAGGAUGGUCCCCCACACUGGUACUGAGACACGGACCAGACUCCUACGGGAGGCAGCAGUGAGGAAUAUUGGUCAAUGGGCGGAAGCCUGAACCAGCCAUGCCGCGUGCGGGAUGAAGGCCCUACGGGUUGUAAACCGCUUUUCCCCGGGAAGAACUAAGCCCCCGCGGGGGUGAGUGCCGGUACCGGGGAAUAAGGAUCGGCUAACUCCGUGCCCAGCAGCCGCGGUAAAGUGUGUGUA